This 253-nucleotide ribosomal RNA is filed under the name uncultured prokaryote. Its description in RNAcentral is "partial 16S ribosomal RNA". It matches the Rfam family "Bacterial small subunit ribosomal RNA", at positions 524 to 776 of the family's 1533-position model. The record is from RNAcentral.
UACGGAGGGUGCAAGCGUUAUCCGGAUUCACUGGGUUUAAAGGGUGCGUAGGUGGGUUGGUAAGUCAGUGGUGAAAUCUCCGGGCUUAACUCGGAACGGUCAACUGAUACUGCUCGACUAGAGUGCGGAAGGGGCAACUGGAAUUCUUGGUGUAGCAGUGAAAUGCGUAGAUAUCAGGAGGAACACCGAUGGCGAAGGCAGGUCUCUGGGCUGACACUGACGCUCAUGCACGAAAGCGUGGGGAGCAAACAGG